This 353-nucleotide transfer-messenger RNA is filed under the name Mesoaciditogaceae. Its description in RNAcentral is "Athalassotoga sp002878315 Standard tmRNA". It matches the Rfam family "transfer-messenger RNA". From Rfam's summary of the family: Bacterial tmRNA, also known as 10Sa RNA or SsrA, is named for its dual tRNA and mRNA-like properties. Its role is to liberate the mRNA from a stalled ribosome. The record is from RNAcentral. Lineage: Bacteria; Thermotogati; Thermotogota; Thermotogae; Mesoaciditogales. RNAcentral also lists the same sequence under 2 other names.
GGGGGCGAAAUGGUUUCGACGGGAUAUUUGUUUUGCGAGAAGCGAGCCGGGAGUGCCUGCCUUCCCGUGAAAAAGGCGGGAAUGACAAUAAACGUCAAUCCUGAAUACGCACUCGCUGCUUAAUAGAUAAGCGGCCGCCCCUGUGUCUUUCGUCCGGAGGGACACAGAAGGGCGUCAAAGAUCCGGGCUUCCCUGUAUGGGUUCGUUCUCGCCCAUACGGGUAGAUUUAGAGAACUUUGCCGGAUGAUCCGUGCCUGUGCGGUCCAUCCGGUGAGCACAAGCACAGGCUGCGCUCGGAGAUGCUCGCAGGGCAAGUAUUUCGGACGUGGGUUCGAUUCCCAUCGCCUCCACCA